UACCAGCACCCCGAGUGGUCGGGACGAUUAUUGGGCCUAAAGCAUCCGUAGCCGGUUCUACAAGUCUUCCGUUAAAUCCACCUGCUUAACAGAUGGGCUGCGGAGGAUACUGUAGAGCUAGGAGGCGGGAGAGGCAAGCGGUACUUAGUGGGUAGGGGUAAAAUCCGUUGAUCCAUUGAAGACCACCAGUGGCGAAGGCGGCUUGCCAGAACGCACUCGACGGUGAGGGAUGAAGGCUGGGGGAGCAAACCGG
This 253-nucleotide ribosomal RNA is filed under the name uncultured bacterium. RNAcentral's name for it is "partial 16S ribosomal RNA". It matches the Rfam family "Archaeal small subunit ribosomal RNA", at positions 474 to 727 of the family's 1478-position model. The record is from RNAcentral.